UAGAUAGAAGUUCGCUGGAUUGAACACUUAGCUGUUAAUUAAGUUUUUACAGGAUCGAGGCCUGUCUAUCUAG
RNAcentral lists this transfer RNA (73 nucleotides) under Mustelus mosis (Arabian smooth-hound). RNAcentral describes it as "tRNA-Asn". The record is from RNAcentral. Lineage: Eukaryota; Metazoa; Chordata; Chondrichthyes; Carcharhiniformes; Triakidae.